CAUUUAUUUCGUAGAUGUUUUAGUGGCGAACGGGUGAGUAAUACAUAGAAUCUGCCCUUUUGAGAGGGAUAUCCAUGAGAAAUUGUGAGUAAUACCUCAUAAGCUCGAAAGAGGAAAGGUCGUAAGGCCGCUGAAGGAGGAGUCUAUGUCGGAUUAGAUAGUUGGUGGGGUAAUGGCCUACCAAGUCGAUGAUCCGUAGCUGGUUUGAGAGGAUGAUCAGCCACACUGGGACUGAGAUACGGCCCAG
This 247-nucleotide ribosomal RNA is filed under the name uncultured bacterium. Its description in RNAcentral is "partial 16S ribosomal RNA". It matches the Rfam family "Bacterial small subunit ribosomal RNA", at positions 72 to 334 of the family's 1533-position model. The record is from RNAcentral.